This 341-nucleotide long non-coding RNA is filed under the name Phoenix dactylifera (date palm). RNAcentral describes it as "long non-coding RNA (PDAC_LNC007351)". The record is from RNAcentral. Lineage: Eukaryota; Viridiplantae; Streptophyta; Magnoliopsida; Arecales; Arecaceae.
UGCAAACUAUCUAAUAGAUGGUCAAGCCCGACUUUGGCCGGUAUCCAACCGGACCAUCCAUUCCAAUAGUUGCAACUGACUCAUCAUUAUUGUUUGACAAUUCCAAUGGCCGAUACGCACCAGUGCGCGCACGCGCCUCCAAUGUAUAUAGACGCAUUGGACUCAUUAUCACACAACUAAUGGAAGGCUAUGACGUGGCCAUCUCCAUUAACCAUAUCAUUUUAUGAACCUAAUAAUUUAGAGGAUUUUUAUAAUAAAAAGCUGACUCAAUCCAAAUCCUCCCACUGACUUCAUAAGUCAGGUAUCAUAGGAAAUAGAUUCAAGUUAGUGUACCUAAAUCA